GAAGGGCCAGAAUCCUCCCAAGCCUGCUCCUUCCCCUCCUUCUCCUGUGAGUCCCCCAACAGUUUGUGACAAUUACUACUCCUGCCCAUCCAGCACCACCUGCUGCUGUGUCUAUGAGUAUGGACGCUACUGUUUUGCCUGGGGGUGCUGCCCUCUUGAGGGUGCCACCUGCUGUGAGGAUCACUACAGCUGCUGCCCCCAUGAUUACCCAGUUUGCAAUGUGAAGGCUGGAACUUGUCAACUGGUAAAAAUCUCUUCUUGUCAAAUUCAUAAUGCGAAAUCACUUGUUGAUUUCCUAAUAAUUUUGUAUGUUGCUUGAUGUGAGUAAACAGAG
RNAcentral lists this long non-coding RNA (334 nucleotides) under Elaeis guineensis (African oil palm). RNAcentral describes it as "long non-coding RNA (EGUI_LNC040175)". Lineage: Eukaryota; Viridiplantae; Streptophyta; Magnoliopsida; Arecales; Arecaceae. The record is from RNAcentral.